This 253-nucleotide ribosomal RNA is filed under the name uncultured bacterium. Its description in RNAcentral is "partial 16S ribosomal RNA". It matches the Rfam family "Bacterial small subunit ribosomal RNA", at positions 524 to 776 of the family's 1533-position model. The record is from RNAcentral.
UACGUAGGGUCCGAGCGUUGUCCGGAAUUACUGGGCGUAAAGAGCUCGUAGGUGGUUUGUCGCGUUGUUCGUGAAAACUCACAGCUUAACUGUGGGCGUGCGGGCGAUACGGGCAGACUUGAGUACUGCAGGGGAGACUGGAAUUCCUGGUGUAGCGGUGAAAUGCGUAGAUAUCAGGAGGAACACCUGUGGCGAAGGCGGGUCUCUGGGCCGAUACUGACGCUGAGGAGCGAAAGCGUGGGGAGCGAACAGG